GGAAUAUUGGGCAAUGGGCGAAAGCCUGACCCAGCAACGCCGCGUGAGUGAAGAAGGCUUUCGGGUUGUAAAGCUCUGUUAUAGGGGACGAAGGAGUGACGGUACCCUAUAAGGAAGCCCCGGCUAACUACGUGCCAGCAGCCGCGGUAAUACGUAGGGGGCGAGCGUUGUCCGGAAUGACUGGGCGUAAAGGGCGUGUAGGCGGUCAUUUAAGUCUGGAGUGAAAGUCCUGCUUUCAAGGUGGGAACUGCUUUGGAUACUGGAUGACUUGAGUGCGGAAGAGGUAAGUGGAAUUCCCAGUGUAGCGGUGAAAUGCGUAGAGAUUGGGAGGAACACCAGUGGCGAAGGCGACUUACUGGGCCGUAACUGACGCUGAGGCGCGAAAGCGUGGGGAGCGAACA
This 401-nucleotide ribosomal RNA is filed under the name uncultured bacterium. RNAcentral's name for it is "bacterial SSU rRNA". It matches the Rfam family "Bacterial small subunit ribosomal RNA", at positions 358 to 774 of the family's 1533-position model. The record is from RNAcentral.